GACGAACGCAGGCGGCGUGCCUAACACAUGCAAGUCGAGCGGAGUCAGUAAGAGGAAGUUUUCGGAUGGAAUCUUAUUGAUUUAGCGGCGAACGGGUGAGUAACGCGUGAGCGACCAACCUUGCACAGGGGGAUAACGGACCGAAAGGUUCACUAAUACCGCAUGAGACCACGGUGUUGCAUGACACAGGGGUCAAAGGAGUAAUCCGGUGCAAGACGGGCUCGCGUCCGAUUAGGUAGUUGGAGGGGUAACGGCCCACCAAGACUAUGAUCGGUAGCUGGCCUGAGAGGGUGAUAGGCCACAUUGGAACUGAGUGACGGUCCAAACUCCUACGGGAGGCAGCAGUGGGGAAUAUUGGGCAAUGGGGGAAACCCUGACCCAGCAACGCCGCGUGAAGGAAGAAGGUUUUCGGAUUGUAAACUUCUGUCCUUGGUGAAGAGAAGAAGACGGUAGCCAAGGAGGAAGCCCCGGCUAACUACGUGCCAGCUGCCGCUGUAA
RNAcentral lists this ribosomal RNA (498 nucleotides) under uncultured bacterium. RNAcentral's name for it is "partial 16S ribosomal RNA". It matches the Rfam family "Bacterial small subunit ribosomal RNA", at positions 28 to 523 of the family's 1533-position model. The record is from RNAcentral.